This is a non-coding RNA of Oryza sativa Japonica Group (Japanese rice), 3027 nucleotides long. NCBI's taxonomy places the organism in Eukaryota, Viridiplantae, Streptophyta, Magnoliopsida, Poales, Poaceae. The record is from RefSeq and is a predicted model, not a curated record.
GCUGAAAUCAUUACUUCCUUGUACACAAGUACAAUGAGUACUUGAGCCAGAUUAUUUCUCACAUCUCUCAUUUCUGAUUUGGUGGCUAACAUCACAAAGUUCUCACCCUCUCUUUUCUUUUUAUCACUCAUAUUUGGCUUGUGGCUCUUGCUCACCGAUUUGUGGAUGUCACUAAAUUUAUUUUGCUCUCUUUCUUUCUCACUUUCUAUCCUAACUUCAGAACUCUUUUGCAUAUGCUCAGCCAUGAUUUGUUGAGGUGUCAUGGGCUUAAGCACAAAAUUCCUUCCUUUCCACUUGAUAGAGAAUUGAUUUGUUCGACCACAAUGCCGUGAUGAUCGAUCAAAUUGCCAUGGCCUUCCCAGCAGCAAGUGACACACUGUCAUAGGCACAACAUCACACAAAACCUCAUCUUCAUAUUCACCAAUCUUAAAAGAAACUUUCACCCGAUGCCCAAUCUUGAUAUCUCCACUAUCAUUUAGCCAUUGGACAUGAUAUGGAUGUGGGUGUCGCAACAACUUCAGACCAAGCUUGUCACACAUAUCCUUACUUGCAAGAUUAUGGCAGCUACCUCCAUCAACGAUGACCUUGCACACCUUUCCUCCCACUUUAGCUCGGGUCUGAAAAAGAUUGUUUCUUUGUCCAUUUUCAGCAUCCUUAAGUUGUACACUCAGAACUUGAGUCACAACAAGUGCAGCACCUUAUUCAAACUCACAUUGAGUAUCCUCUUUUCCAACAACAUCUUCAUUUCCAUCAUCAAGAACAUCUUCUUACACCUCACUAGCUGAAUCAAACUCUCCAUGUUCAAUCACAAUAAUGGCACGAUUGUUUGGACAUUCUCUAACAACAUGCCCACGGCCUCCACACUUGAAGCAUUGGAUAUCUCGACUCCUAGAAGUAGAGCCAAUUGAGGUAGUAGAUGAGACCGUUGGUUUACUCUUCACACUAGAAAUGACAGCCUCUUUGCCAUUAGAAAAACUAGAAACAUUAGAGCGUAAACCACCACUCGAGUUUAUGGUGGUACCUCAAUUCACAUUGGCUCUUGGCGUAAACUUGUUACCAAUUGGGGUAACCCGCGAACUGAAUGAACUCGACUUUCUUGCCUUGGCAUCUUGCUGCAACUAAUGCUCAGCUUUGCUAGCUUGAUACACACACUGGACAAGAUUACGAUAUGACUGAAAUUCCACAAUUCGCUGAAUAUCCCGGUGUAACCCUGACAUGAACCUUGCAAUGGAUUGCUCUUCAUCUUCAAAAAUAUUAGCUCGGAUCAUGGCAUUCUCCAUCUCCUUAUAAUAUUCCUCAUCAUACCAACUUGCUUGCUUCAAAUUCUGCAAUCUAUCAAAAAGAUCACGUCAGUAAUGCCUCAGAAUAAAUCUUGCUCUCAUUGCAGCCUUCAUUUCAUCUUGGCCAUUCUCUUCUCAUUCAUUCAUCAAUUGCUCCCACCAAAUUAGAGCAUAAUCCUCAAACUCAAGUGAAGCCAUUGCCAAUUUCUUCUCUUCGGAAUAAUUAUGGAUGUGAAAUAUUUUAUCAACCUUCAACUCCCACAUAAGAUAAGCCUCUAGAUCAGAUCCACCAUCAAACUUUGGAAUGGUGAAUUUCAGCUUACCAAGCCUCUCUUCAUCAUUAUUUCUCCGCCGUGGUAUGCGACCAAAACGAUAGGGCAAAUCAUCAUUAUCAUCCUCUUCAUCUUCUCCACUGUGCACACUUGCAUCUCCACCAAAAGGAUUAAUAUUUUCAAAAUGACCCAAAAUAUUUUGAACAUCUUGUGCCAUUCGAUCUUGUCUUGCCUCCAUGUUACGCCUCAACUCAUUAAAUUGAGCCAUGGUAACACAAUCCUCCGGAUUAAUUUCAGACAUCUUCUUGCAUGGUUAGUAACACAAGUGGCAAAACAAAAUAUAUGUGGAAUUGUAAAAUAUGUGGAAACUGUCACAACCUCACCUUCUCUUACCAACCGAAGCUCUUAUGUAUUCCUUGCAAGUUACAGAAGUAUAUGUGUGGUGGAAAAAAGUGUGAUGGUUAAGCGAACAAAAGACCAAGAUGACGUAAACGAUGGUUUCUUUGUGGAGCUUGGUGGGGUAAACCUACACUAAGCAAUCUGAAAUCUAGUUGUUGUAAAGAUAAGUAACAAUUCAAACUAGAAGUUCAAUGCCUAGUGCUGAUCCAAAAGGUUUGGAAUUGUCACGUCCUGAUUUUUCGCUUUCUGUUCUUCUCGCCUAUUUGUGAAAAUUCACAUUUGGUUUAUUCGUCUAAAAUAGCUUAAUGAAAAUUUCGUUAAAUCAAAAGGUUUUAAAAUGAUUAAUUAGUUAAUUACGUUGUUCGCUUUGUGAUUCUUAAUUGCAGUUAGUUGGAUUUAAUUUGUAUUUCGGAAGUGAAGCUCAAUCCCUAAUUCAAAUUCCAUCCAAAUCCAAUAUUCCUUUUCAAAUCCUAAAUCCUUCCCAAAAAUUCCAAAUACUUUAUAUUUGGAAUUUUCUAGAGAAGUCCCUGUCUUUUUCCCUUUUUCCUUCCUCUCUUUUUCUCUAUUCUACCCUUUUGCAGUUUAGCCCUUAUUCUUCUUUCUUUUUUUCUUUUUCCCCCACCUUCUUCUACCUCCAGCUCUCUCUCUCCUUCUUGAGCUGCAGGCCUGGGGAAGCCAAGCCCCAAGCCCACGUGCCGCCCCGGCCCGGCCUUCUCCUCCUCUCUGUGUCGCCGGCCCAAGCCGCCGCCGACCGAGCCCGCGCCGGCCGCGCCACCAAAUCCCGCAAGCCGCGCCGCCAAAUUCGGAGCUGCCGCCUUUCCAAAGCUUGCGCCGUGCGCCCUAACCCUAGUUACUCCUUCCUCUAUAAAUACCGUCGGCCACCGCCCCUUUUCCCCCCUUUUUCAAAGCCGCCGCCAUCUCCACCGUGAGCAGCCGCCGCCGCCGUUGCUCCGUGCCGCCGCCGGGAGCCGCGCUGUCGUCGUCACCAUCUUCCUACCAUACCGCAGCCGCUGACGUUGGAGCGGAAGAGCAGUUUGCUUCAGAAGACGCUGUGCAAGGACAGUAUUGGGAUCAAG